Molecule: ribosomal RNA, 256 nt
Filed under: uncultured bacterium
Lineage: Bacteria
Description: partial 16S ribosomal RNA
Rfam family: Bacterial small subunit ribosomal RNA
Source: RNAcentral
UACGGGGGGAGCAAGCGUUGUUCGGAUUUACUGGGCGUAAAGGGCGCGUAGGCGGCCACCGCAAGUCGACUGUGAAAUCUCCGGGCUUAACCCGGAAAGGUCAGCCGAUACUGCGGGGCUAGAGUGCAGAAGGGGGCAACUGGAAUUCUCGGUGUAGCGGUGAAAUGCGUAGAUAUCGAGAGGAACACCUGCGGCGAAGGCGGGUUGCUGGGCUGACACGUGACGCUGAGGCGCGAAAGCGUGGGGAGCAAACAGG